AGUGCCGAGUGGCGCUGGGGCGUGUGCGGCGGCGGGCGACUGCGCGAGAGGAGCGGUUCGUCCUCCCUUCGGCGGCGACAAGCGAGACAGUUCGCACGAGUGCGGGGAUGGGGUCGGGGAAUGCGGGGAUGGGGGGAUGCCGUCGUGGGUUUUCCUGAUUUGUUUUCACCGAGCCUACAAGUAGGAGGAGGGUGGGGGAACGAGCGAACGAGUGGUCGAACCAUCACGACGUUUGAUCCUACUUUAAUAGUAGAGAUAGGUGGUGCUUGCUUUGGUGAGU
This 280-nucleotide long non-coding RNA is filed under the name Hordeum vulgare. RNAcentral describes it as "long non-coding RNA (HVUL_LNC017951)". Lineage: Eukaryota; Viridiplantae; Streptophyta; Magnoliopsida; Poales; Poaceae. The record is from RNAcentral.